GAUGAACGCUGGCGGCGUGCCUAAUACAUGCAAGUCGAGCGAACAGACGAGGAGCUUGCUCCUCUGACGUUAGCGGCGGACGGGUGAGUAACACGUGGAUAACCUACCUAUAAGACUGGGAUAACUUCGGGAAACCGGAGCUAAUACCGGAUAAUAUAUUGAACCGCAUGGUUCAAUAGUGAAAGACGGUUUUGCUGUCACUUAUAGAUGGAUCCGCGCCGCAUUAGCUAGUUGGUAAGGUAACGGCUUACCAAGGCAACGAUGCGUAGCCGACCUGAGAGGGUGAUCGGCCACACUGGAACUGAGACACGGUGCAGACUCCUACGGGAGGCAGCAGUAGGGAAUCUUCCGCAAUGGGCGAAAGCUUGACGGAGCAACGCCGCGUGAGUGAUGAAGGUCUUCGGAUCGUAAAACUCUGUUAUUAGGGAAGAACAAAUGUGUAAGUAACUAUGCACGUCUUGACAGUACCUAAUCAGAAAGCCACGGCUAACUACGUG
This 497-nucleotide ribosomal RNA is filed under the name uncultured bacterium. RNAcentral's name for it is "partial 16S ribosomal RNA". It matches the Rfam family "Bacterial small subunit ribosomal RNA", at positions 28 to 507 of the family's 1533-position model. The record is from RNAcentral.